GACCGUGAACUGAGGGGAAAUGUCUCCCCCUUCAGAUCCGGCAGCGGAAUUUUCCGCUCAUUACCAUCACAAGGAG
Molecule: regulatory RNA element, 76 nt
Rfam family: L20-Deltaproteobacteria ribosomal protein leader
Source: Rfam